This 295-nucleotide ribosomal RNA is filed under the name uncultured bacterium. RNAcentral's name for it is "partial 16S ribosomal RNA". It matches the Rfam family "Bacterial small subunit ribosomal RNA", at positions 58 to 353 of the family's 1533-position model. The record is from RNAcentral.
CAAGUCGAACGGCACCCCUCUCCGGAGGGAAGCGAGUGGCGAACGGCUGAGUAACACGUGGAGAACCUGCCCCCUCCCCCCGGGAUAGCCGCCCGAAAGGACGGGUAAUACCGGAUACCCCCGGGCGCCGCAUGGCGCCCGGGCUAAAGCCCCGACGGGAGGGGAUGGCUCCGCGGCCCAUCAGGUAGACGGCGGGGUGACGGCCCACCGUGCCGACAACGGGUAGCCGGGUUGAGAGACCGACCGGCCAGAUUGGGACUGAGACACGGCCCAGACUCCUACGGGAGGCAGCAUG